Molecule: ribosomal RNA, 253 nt
Filed under: uncultured bacterium
Lineage: Bacteria
Description: partial 16S ribosomal RNA
Rfam family: Bacterial small subunit ribosomal RNA
Source: RNAcentral
UACGUAGGGUGCGAGCGUUGUCCGGAAUUAUUGGGCGUAAAGGGCUCGUAGGCGGUUUGUCGCGUCGGGAGUGAAAACACCGGGCUUAACUCGGUGCUUGCUUCCGAUACGGGCAGACUAGAGGCAUGCAGGGGAGAACGGAAUUCCUGGUGUAGCGGUGAAAUGCGCAGAUAUCGGAAGGAACACCGGUGGCGAAAGCGGCGCGCUGGAUCUCUUCUGACGCUGCGGCGCGAAAGCCAGGGGAGCGAACGGG